AGAGUUUGAUCCUGGCCAAGUCGUAACAAGGUAGGAUCCUGGCCAAGUCGUAACAAGGUACGGGUGAGUAAUGUCUGGGAAACUGCCUGAUGGAGGGGGAUAACUACUGGAAACGGUAGCUAAUACCGCAUAACGUCGCAAGACCAAAGAGGGGGACCUUCGGGCCUCUUGCCAUCGGAUGUGCCCAGAUGGGAUUAGCUAGUAGGUGGGGUAACGGCGUCACCUAGGCGACGAUCCCUAGCUGGUCUGAGAGGAUGACCAGCCACACUGGAACUGAGACACGGUCCAGACUCCUACGGGAGGCAGCAGUGGGGAAUAUUGCACAAUGGGCGCAAGCCUGAUGCAGCCAUGCCGCGUGUAUGAAGAAGGCCUUCGGGUUGUAAAGUACUUUCAGCGGGGAGGAAGGGAGUAAAGUUAAUACCUUUGCUCAUUGACGUUACCCGCAGAAGAAGCACCGGCUAACUCCGUGCCAGCAGCCGCGGUAAUACGGAGGGUGCAAGCGUUAAUCGGAAUUACUGGGCGUAAAGCGCACGCAGGCGGUUUGUUAAGUCAGAUGUGAAAUCCCCGGGCUCAACCUGGGAACUGCAUCUGAUACUGGCAAGCUUGAGUCUCGUAGAGGGGGGUAGAAUUCCAGGUGUAGCGGUGAAAU
This 649-nucleotide ribosomal RNA is filed under the name uncultured Escherichia sp. RNAcentral's name for it is "bacterial SSU rRNA". It matches the Rfam family "Bacterial small subunit ribosomal RNA", at positions 43 to 687 of the family's 1533-position model. Lineage: Bacteria; Pseudomonadati; Pseudomonadota; Gammaproteobacteria; Enterobacterales; Enterobacteriaceae. The record is from RNAcentral.